AGAGAAGCUAAUACCGCAUACGCUCGGCCAUUCAGUUGGUCGAGUAAAGCUCCGGCGCUCCAGGAGGGGCCUGCGUCCGAUUAGCUAGUUGGUGGGGUAAUGGCCUACCAAGGCGAUGAUCAGUAGCUGGUCUGAGAGGACGAUCAGCCACACUGGCACUGACACACGGGCCAGACUCCUACGGGAGGCAGCAGUGAGGAAUAUUGGUCAAUGGGCGAAAGCCUGAACCAGCAACGCCGCGUGAGGGAUGAAGGCCUUCGGGUCGUAAACCUCUUUUCUGGGAGAAGAGACAAGGACGGUAUCCCAGGAAUAAGUCUCGGCUAACUACGUGCCAGCAGCCGCGGUAAAACGUAGGAGGCAAGCGUUAUCCGGAUUUACUGGGCGUAAAGCGCACGCAGGCGGCUGCGUAAGUCGGACGUGAAAACUCCCGGCUCAACUGGGAGAGGUCGUUCGAAACUGCGCGGCUUGAGGUUGGAAGAGGAGAGCGGAAUUCCCGGUGUAGUGGUGGAAUGCGUAGAUAUCGGGAGGAACACCAGUGGCGAAAGCGGCUCUCUGGUCCACACCUGACGCUCAGGUGCGAAAGCGUGGGUAGCGAACGGGAUUAGAUACCCCGGUAGUCCACGCUGUAAACGAUGCGAACUAGGUGUUGGUAGUAUUAAACCUAUCAGUGCCGAAGCUAACGCGAUAAGUUCGCCGCCUGGGGACUACGGCCGCAAGGCUAAAACUCAAAGGAAUUGACGGGGGCCUCGCACAAGCAGCGGAGCGUGUGGUUUAAUUCGAUGCAACGCGAAGAACCUUACCU
This 802-nucleotide ribosomal RNA is filed under the name uncultured Caldilineaceae bacterium. RNAcentral's name for it is "bacterial SSU rRNA". It matches the Rfam family "Bacterial small subunit ribosomal RNA", at positions 156 to 976 of the family's 1533-position model. Lineage: Bacteria; Bacillati; Chloroflexota; Caldilineae; Caldilineales; Caldilineaceae. The record is from RNAcentral.